GCUGGGCACAGUGGCUCAUGCCUGUAAUCCCAGCACUUUGGGAGGUUGAGGCAGGUGGAUCAUUUGAGGCCAGGAGUUUGAGGCUGCAGUGAGCCAUGAUGGUGCCACUGCACUCUAGCCUGGGUUACAGAGCGAGACCCUGUCUCUA
This is an unclassified non-coding RNA of Pongo abelii (Sumatran orangutan), 148 nucleotides long. It matches the Rfam family "Metazoan signal recognition particle RNA". Rfam says of the family: The signal recognition particle (SRP) is a universally conserved ribonucleoprotein. It is involved in the co-translational targeting of proteins to membranes. The record is from Ensembl. NCBI's taxonomy places the organism in Eukaryota, Metazoa, Chordata, Mammalia, Primates, Hominidae.